Molecule: ribosomal RNA, 122 nt
Filed under: Petromyzon marinus (sea lamprey)
Lineage: Eukaryota; Metazoa; Chordata; Hyperoartia; Petromyzontiformes; Petromyzontidae
Source: RNAcentral
GUGUGCAAGUAAAACUUCCUGAGCGCGUCCGAUCUCGUCGAAUCUCCGAGGCUGUGGCAGGAUUGAGCCUGGUUAGUACUUGGAUGGAAGACUGCCGGGGAGUAACCAGGUGUUUGUCGGCU